GUCUACGGCCAUGCCACCCUGAACAAGCCCAAUCCCGUCUUCUGAUCUCGGAAGCUAAGCAGGGUCGGGCCUGGUUAGUACUUGGAAGGGAGACCACCUAGGAAGACCGGGUGCUGUAGGCA
RNAcentral lists this ribosomal RNA (122 nucleotides) under Pteropus alecto (black flying fox). The record is from RNAcentral. Lineage: Eukaryota; Metazoa; Chordata; Mammalia; Chiroptera; Pteropodidae.